Molecule: ribosomal RNA, 464 nt
Filed under: uncultured bacterium
Lineage: Bacteria
Description: partial 16S ribosomal RNA
Rfam family: Bacterial small subunit ribosomal RNA
Source: RNAcentral
CUACGGGACGCACCAGUGGGGAAUAUUGCACAAUGGGCGCAAGCCUGAUGCAGCCAUGCCGCGUGUAUGAAGAAGGCCUUCGGGUUGUAAAGUACUUUCAGCGGGGAGGAAGGGAGUAAAGUUAAUACCUUUGCUCAUUGACGUUACCCGCAGAAGAAGCACCGGCUAACUCCGUGCCAGCAGCCGCGGUAAUACGGAGGGUGCAAGCGUUAAUCGGAAUUACUGGGCGUAAAGCGCACGCAGGCGGUUUGUUAAGUCAGAUGCGAAAUCCCCGGGCUCAACCUGGGAACUGCAUCUGAUACUGGCAAGCUUGAGUCUCGGAGAGGGGGGUAGAAUUCCAGGUGUAGCGGUGAAAUGCGUAGAGAUCUGGAGGAAUACCGGUGGCGAAGGCGGCCCCCUGGACGAAGACUGACGCUCAGGUGCGAAAGCGUGGGGAGCAAACAGGAUUAGAUACCCCCGUAGUC